GUAGGAGCUGUGCCAACUGAUAAAAGAAGAACAUCUACAAGAUGAGAUUUUUUUUUUCAACAUACAAGUCCUGCCCAAGCAUUUCCUUCCAAAAACACAUUGCUAGUGUGUUGGAGCCAGGACAUGGGCAAGUCGUACAUGAUUUGUCUAAGAGUGAGACCAGGCUUAUCGUAUCCAAAUGCUGUUUUGUAACAUGAUUUUGCCAAAGAGUACAUUUGUGUUUGAUUUCAGCUUAUUUCCCUGCCACUGUAUGAGACCACUCCAAGUUCUUUGGCUUCAGUGACGUGACAGCUGCAACCUCAGCUCAUGGAACGUGCUUCCAAAACUAACUGAGAAUUGAUUCAUUUGGUAGGAGCUUCAGAACAGUUAGGUUGGAGAUCCCUGUAGCCUGGUGGAAAUCCCGUUGGCUUUCUCCAUUGGCUUUCUUCAGUGUUCUGCACAGUACUGGAACAUGUUGCUUUGGUGCACAGCAAACAAAACACAUGGUGCAGCUGUGCUGCCGACCGUGCUGCAGGUGGC
Molecule: long non-coding RNA, 519 nt
Filed under: Gallus gallus (chicken)
Lineage: Eukaryota; Metazoa; Chordata; Aves; Galliformes; Phasianidae
Description: long non-coding RNA NONGGAT006684
Source: RNAcentral